RNAcentral lists this unclassified non-coding RNA (337 nucleotides) under soil metagenome. RNAcentral's name for it is "partial contains 5.8S ribosomal RNA, internal transcribed spacer 2, and large subunit ribosomal RNA". The stretch from base 1 to 120 matches the Rfam family "5.8S ribosomal RNA", at positions 35 to 154 of the family's 154-position model. The record is from RNAcentral.
GAUGAAGAACGUAGCGAAGUGCGAUAAGUAGUGUGAAUUGCAGAAUUCAGUGAAUCAUCGAAUCUUUGAACGCACAUUGCGCCCCAUGGUAUUCCGUGGGGCAUGCCUGUUCGAGCGUCAUUUACCCCCUCAAGCUCCGCUUGGUGUUGGGCGUCUGUCCCGCUUCGCGCGCGGACUCGCCCCAAAGGUAUUGGCAGCGGUCGUGCCAGCUUCUCGCGCAGCACAUUGCGCUUCUCGAGGCACCGGUGGGCCCGCGUCCAUCAAGCUCACCCCCCCAGUUUGACCUCGGAUCAGGUAGGAAUACCCGCUGAACUUAAGCAUAUCAAUAAGCGGAGGA